GUGGUCACUUUGGUAGCACAUAAACUGGAAUGAUCUAGAGAAGAUUAGCAUGGCCCCUACACCAGGAUGACCCCCAAUCUGUGAAGCGUUCCAUUAAAAA
Molecule: small nuclear RNA, 100 nt
Organism: Otolemur garnettii (small-eared galago)
Lineage: Eukaryota; Metazoa; Chordata; Mammalia; Primates; Galagidae
Source: Ensembl